Molecule: ribosomal RNA, 347 nt
Filed under: Filobasidium magnum
Lineage: Eukaryota; Fungi; Basidiomycota; Tremellomycetes; Filobasidiales; Filobasidiaceae
Description: partial large subunit ribosomal RNA
Rfam family: Eukaryotic large subunit ribosomal RNA
Source: RNAcentral
AAAUGGGUGGUAAAUUCCAUCUAAAGCUAAAUAUUGGCGAGAGACCGAUAGCGAACAAGUACCGUGAGGGAAAGAUGAAAAGCACUUUGGAAAGAGAGUUAAACAGUAUGUGAAAUUGUUGAAAGGGAAACGAUUGAAGUCAGUCGUGCUCUUUGGAUUCAGCCGGUUCUGCCGGUGUACUUCCUUUGAGUGGGGUCAACAUCAGUUUUGAUCGCUGGAUAAAGGCUGGAGGAACGUAGUACCCUCGGGUAAACUUAUAGCCUCCUGUCACAUACAGUGGUUGGGACUGAGGAACGCAGCACGCCUUUAUGGCCGGGAUUCGUCCACGUACGUGCUUAGGAUGUUGA